Molecule: long non-coding RNA, 1495 nt
Filed under: Sus scrofa (pig)
Lineage: Eukaryota; Metazoa; Chordata; Mammalia; Artiodactyla; Suidae
Description: lncRNA (ENSSSCG00005004836.1)
Source: RNAcentral
GUAUUUAUUUAGCAUGUAAGGGCCCAGAUCACGGUCCCUGCUUGUAAGGAUCUUGGCAUCUUAUUAGGAAAAACAUAUAUAUAAAAUCAGUAUGAGAACAUGUCAGGUGCUCUGAAUAUCAGUACAUGUUUUUGUUUGUUUUAAAAAAUAUCAUGCUAAUUACCACUUACUACAAUUAGUUUUACUGGAAAUAUUUUGUUUGAUUGAACAUGAGGUCCGUGGACUCAAACAUGUUAGUGAUCAUUAUUGACAGUGAAAUCACUGUUCUAGUUAAUGUGAGUUAAGAGAAUGACCUCCGAUUUAUUAUUAAUAUUAAAAACAUCACCUGUUUCCCACAGGAAAUAGCCAAAGAAUUAAAAUAUAAGGAUGGAAAUCUUGUGGCAAUAUUGUGGUAGCUCUUUGCAUCCAAUCUACUCCUCAUAGGGGAAGAGAGAAGACAUUAUUUCUAAACACUUAUAUGGUGGAUAUUAUUAAAAAUUUCCUUGGAAUUUGAAUGCCUAUUUGACUUUCAGGCAAAUUUUACAUUCAAUGUUUAGAAAUUGAAACAUUUAUGUUAUUACAUUAUUUAAUUAUGGUGUAUUACUUGCCUGACUGAAGAAGAAAAGAAUAUUCUUGCUCAACUGAAAACCAAUGUACCCAACUUAUAAUUUUUCUAAUUUGAAAUAAUUAUACUACACAAAGUGCAAAGCCAUUUAUUAUAUUUGAUUCAUCACAUCAAUUUUCCUUUAAAUCAUUUAGAUAUUAUAUGCCUUGCAAGAAUCAUUUAUGCAGUAUGUGACAAAUUCCAAGAACAGAAGUAAUAAUGCAUGCACUUUACGUCUGAGAAAAUAUGCCAAACCAUUUAAACAGAGGGAAUUCCUACAUUUGUUUACAUGGAAAAAUAAAAGAUGAAAGGAAAAAAUCGGAGAAGGGAGAUAUAUGAAUCCACUAGGAAUAUAGCAGAUGGAGAAUUUGACUGGACACAGUUGCAGCUCAGAAGCAAAUUACUGAGGUGGAGAAUUACAAAGCUCUUCUUAUCUCAGGAAAUACACAUUGUCUAAUUCUGAAGAGAACAUGUGAAACUCAACAACUGAAACGUUUCUCUGAGUUUUGUGGGCAGAACAGUGUCCUUGGAUGGUUGAAAAUGCUGUGAGAAAUUAAGGCCAAAGAAUAGUUCUUGAGAUUGAGUCCUAUCGUAUAUCUUAUCCAUUGCUUACUCUCACAGAGCUGAACACAAGAACCAGAAGUAUUUAUUCCUGUUCACCAAGGUGGAAAUCACAAGCAAUGACAGCUCAGACUCUGUCAGGUAUUCUCAACUGCAAAAAUGAGCUCUCAGUCAGUAACCACCAAAUCAAUGAGGUGUGUGCCAGGACCAUCAGAGGCAACAAAAUGUUAGGCCCAAGAAAAAAUGGAUAUUGAAAAUAAAUUCAAUAGAUUUGUUCAAGGAUUUAAAUUAGGGUGUUACAUCAACAAAGAAAAGAAUUGGCAGUUACGAGAAGAAUUUAUUGAAAAUCUU